UCCCGACGCCACCACCGUACUCAACCACUCCCCCUCCUCCUUUUAACCCCAUCUACGUGCCUGGAAACCCUAGCCCUUCUCCCUCCCUCGCGCCGCCACCAGAGCCCCUUCCUUCCCUCAUUUUUCUCUUCUGCUUGCACGUUCGAGCACUACCACACCUUCCCCUCCAUGGUACCACCGUUACCGGCCGCCCCUCGACGAACCGAAGACACCAGGAGAUCCGCCUCGUCGAGCUCUACAUCUUGGUGCAAGGAAUCGAGUCAAUACCCCGUAAUUCGAGCGCAAGGUCGCCGUUUCUCCUCCAUGGCUGCCACACUCCGGCGUCGAUUCCGGCCGCCCUCAUCCUCCUCCGGCGAAACCAAGGACACCUCCGGCUUCCUUGUGUUCUCCCGCAUCCCCGACGCCAAGUCCCCCUUCCCGAUUCGCGUUGAAUCGCCGGAUUGAGUCGCCACUGGAUCUUCCCGCCAUGGCUGCUGCUCUCAAGCUCGUCCCCGCCUCCCACUUCUUCUUAUUCCAGUGCACCAGUAAUCCGACAAGAUCUGAUCCGCAGCCCAGUGAUCCGGUGCCUACUGGGUCUCGGACCGUGUCGCCGCCAGCUUGCUCCCCGCCCAGCGUGCGGCAGGCCCCUGUCCGCUGCUCAGCAUUUGCUUCUUCCCGGAUAGGAUCGCGAAGUGGUGUGGUGAGAUACGACAAGUUCUCCGGAUGUUCCUCGACAAGCUUUAACAGGCAAGCAUUUCCCCUAUACUCCUGUCCCUGCAGGAGUCGCUCACCUAUUUUAUUUUGCCUUCUCCCUCAUGCUAUCCUUAAGUUGCGUUCUUGUCACGUGUCCUUUCCACUUGUUACCUCAAGCAGCCCAUAUUGCCACCACCACCUCCUACGGCUAUUGUUUGU
This is a non-coding RNA of Lolium perenne, 891 nucleotides long. The record is from RefSeq and is a predicted model, not a curated record. Lineage: Eukaryota; Viridiplantae; Streptophyta; Magnoliopsida; Poales; Poaceae.